UACACAUGCAAGUCGAACGGCAGCACGGACUCGGUCUGGUGGCGAGCAGAACGGUGAGCAAUGUAUCGGAACGUGCCUAGUAGCGGGGAUAACUACGCGAAAGUGUAGCUAAUACCGCAUACGCCCUUCGGGGGAAAGCGGGGGACCUUUCGGGCCUCGCACUAUUAGAGCGGCCGAUAUCGGAUUAGCUAGUUAAGUGGGGUAACGGCUCACCAAGGCGACGAUCCGUAGCUGGUUUGAGAGUAGACGACCAGCCACACUGGACUGAGAGACACGGCCCAGACUCCUACGGGAGGCAGCAGUGGGGAAUUUUUGACAAUGGGGAAAACCUCCUGAUCCAGCCAUCUCGCGUGUGCGAUGAAGGCCUCGGUUGUAAAAGUACUCCUUUUGGCAGGAAGAAACGGGCACGAUAAUACCCCGUGCAACCGACGGUACCGCAGAAUAGCACCGGCUAACUACGUGCCAGCAGCCGCGGUAAUACGUAGGGCAAGCGUUAAUCGGAAUUACUGGGCGUAAAGCGUGCGUAGGCGGUUCGGAAAGAAAGAUGCGGGAACCCAGAGCUUAACUUUGGAACUGCAUUUUUAACUACCGAGCUAGAGGUAGUCAGAGGGAGGUGGAAUUCGCGUGUAGCAGUGAAAUGCGUAGAUAUGCGGAGGAACACCGAUGGCGAAGGCAGCUCUGGGAUAACACUGACGCUCAUGCACGAAAGCGUGGGAGCAAACAGGAUUAGAUACCCUGGUAGUCCACGCUCUAAACGAUGUCAACUAGCUGUUGGGGCCUCGCCUUGGUAGCGCAGCUAACGCGUGAAGUUGACCGCCCGGGGAGUACGGUCGUGCAAGAUUAAAACUCAAAGGAAUUGACGGGGACUCCGCACAAGCGGUGGAUGAUGUGGAUUAAUUCCGAUGCAACGCGAAAAACCUUACCUACCUUUGACAUGUUCAAAUCCCGAAAGACGGAGUGCUCGCAAAGAGAACUGGAACACAGGUGCUGCAUGGCUGUCGUCAGCUCGCUGUGAGAUGUUGGGUUAAGUCCGGCAACGAGCGCAACCUUGUCAUUAGUUGCUACGAAAGGGCACUCUAAUGAGACUGCUGCGACAAACCGGAGGAAGGUGGGAUGACGUCAAGUCCUCAUGGCCCUUAUGGUAGGGCUUCACACGUCAUACAAUGGCUGGGACAGAGGGUCGCCAACCCGCGAGGGGGAGCCAAUCCAGAAACCCGAUCGUAGUCCGGAUCGCAGUCUGCAACUCGACUGCGUGAAGUCGGAAUCGCUAGUAAUCGCGGAUCAGCAUGUCGCGGUGAAUACGUUCCCGUCUUGUACACACCGCCCGUCACACCAUGGAGUGGGUUUUACCAGAAGUAGUUAGCCCAACUAAAGGAGGGCGAUUACCACGGUAGGAUUCAUGACUGGGGUGAAGUCAACAAGGUGAAACC
RNAcentral lists this ribosomal RNA (1430 nucleotides) under uncultured Bordetella sp. Its description in RNAcentral is "partial 16S-23S ribosomal RNA intergenic spacer". It matches the Rfam family "Bacterial small subunit ribosomal RNA". The record is from RNAcentral. Lineage: Bacteria; Pseudomonadati; Pseudomonadota; Betaproteobacteria; Burkholderiales; Alcaligenaceae.